Molecule: long non-coding RNA, 785 nt
Organism: Rhineura floridana
Lineage: Eukaryota; Metazoa; Chordata; Lepidosauria; Squamata; Rhineuridae
Exons: 3
Source: RefSeq, a predicted model, not a curated record
GCCAGCUGUGUAUAAGAACUGAUCUAGCUGGCCAUACCGAUAAGACAGCAGCGUUGAACUUCCUUGAGCUCCUUUGGGGAGGAGCAUAGAAGCCUAUGCAUAGCGCUUCUCCUAAGCCCCUGGCCCCUUCCGAGAUUCAGUCAGCCGCUGCUCCAUAUUUUCAAGAUUAUUUUCAUCAUCAUAAGGUCCAGAAGCUUAAAAAAAAAAAGGUGCUCCAAAAUUGGUGGAUGAAUGAAUGCUCCUAUAUUCUCUUAAGAGGAUUUUCCAGACAUCAUAAAGGAGAAGAAAAAGGAGAAAAUAAAAAUAAAUAAUAAUAAUAAUAAUAAUAUAGAUUAAUCAGACUGUUCAACACACAGCAUGCAGCUGAUCUGUUGUCUGUGCCUUACUGUUCCUGUAAUGAAGAAACAAACUCUUACUUCUGCAUGCAUGAGUCAUUUUGUUGUUUUCCGUAACUUAGUCAUAUAAUAUCAGUGAGUUUAGCCAUAUAAACUAUAUCCCAGAUCCUUAAAUAGCUAUUCUUCAAUGGCUGGUGUGUUGAUCAUUUCCCCUCCUAGAACUAAAUAAAUAAUCUGGCUGCCGUCGAUAAAUGUCUAAUCAUCUCCCUGUCGUCUGCAUUGGAUAUGGGUUAUAUACAACUGGGUCCUACUCAGAGUAGACCCACUGAAAUUAACUGACAUAAGUUAGUUAUGUUCGUUAAUUUCAGUGGGUCUCCUUUGACUAGGGCCAACAAUGGAUGCAACCCUGCUUGCAUUUUUGGCUGCGAUGUGAACCUUUCCCUAAUAAUA